This 433-nucleotide ribosomal RNA is filed under the name uncultured bacterium. RNAcentral's name for it is "partial 16S ribosomal RNA". It matches the Rfam family "Bacterial small subunit ribosomal RNA", at positions 29 to 507 of the family's 1533-position model. The record is from RNAcentral.
AACGAACGCUGGCGGCAUGCCUAACACAUGCAAGUCGAACGAGACCUUCGGGUCUAGUGGCGCACGGGUGCGUAACGUGUGGGAACCUGCCCUUAGGCUCGGAAUAACUCCUUGAAAGGGGUGCUAAUACCGGAUAACGUACUCGGAUCAAAGAUUUAUCGCCUUUGGAUGGGCCCGCGUUGGUUUAGCCUGUUGGUAGGGUAAAAGCCUACCACGGCGACGAUCCAUAGCUGGUCUGAGAGGAUGGUCAGCCACACUGAGACUGGGACACGGCCCAGAAUCCUGCAGGAGGCAGCAGUGGGGAAUAUAGGACAAUGGGCUAAAUCCUGAUCCAGCAAUGCCGCGUAAGUGAUGAAGUCCUUAGAGUAAUAAAGCACUUUUACCCGGGGUGAUAAUGACAGUACCGAGAGAAUAAGCACCGGCUAACUCCGUG